AUUUGAAUGAUACCUACCGGUUAUGCCCUGGGGUUUGGCUGUCUCCCUUGUCUUUAUCUGUCAAUGUCAGCAUCAAAUUAGGGAGAGAAACAAAAUAGGACAAGCCAAGGGCAGCUUUUCUGGGAGUUAUGCCAGGCUGGCAAGAGGAGGCAGACAGCACAGUGUGCCCGCAGGAGGUCACGACUGGGUCAGAUGAGAGAGAAAGAGGGCGUGCAGAGCCCGAGAUGUGCUUUUGAGUCCAAGGACCGAACUAAGGUCAGAGGUUGUGGAGGGCUCUGGAUGGAGAAAAGAAUGGACCGUGUGACUUGUAACCCUGCACGUUUCUCCAGCUUCCUUCCCUGAUGACCCCUUCAGUGCCACAGAUGCCUGCAAGACACUCCGAUCCCAUCCCUCAGUCAUUUCGAGGAAUUGAGAGGAAUUUUCAAGGGGAGGGCUCUCGGGCCUCUGCUCCAGCUUCCCUGUACCUGAAGAGCUCCACACUGGAAUCUCCAGUGUGGGGGAUCGAACCCAAGUCUCAUACAGGCUAUGCAAAAGCUGUACCCCUGAACUACAUCGUCAGCCCUGGAUGAGACGGAAGUGAGGGAAAGAGGGAGGCAAAGCUGAUGUGAAACCUUGGAGUAGAGGCUGGGGGAUGCCGUUUACCAGUACAGUGAGCACCACAAAGGGGCAGCGUGCUGGGAGAGGAACAAGCUAGUGUGGAUGUGCUGGACAACAAGCCAUGGACAUUCAAAGGUGGAUGUCCAGCAAAGGGUUAAAAACAUCAGCAUCAACGUAGGGAGGAGACCAAAGAAUUAGACAUGGAAACAAUCAGUGAGGCACAGCUGAGACUGGGAGAAAACGCCAUCCCUGGAGGGAAACAGUAGACGGGGAGUUGCAAGCUCAGGUACCAUCCAGGGCAGGGAGAUAAUUCAGAUGGACAAAGUAGCACAGACAAAAUCAUACGGUGGUGGCAACUGCAGUGAGCACUGAAGAUGAUGCACCACCUAAACAGAGAGCGGCAGAUCUUCAGAUCAAACAUUAGCUAAACACUGUGGGACCAGAAAACCAGGUCGGUCUUGUGUUUUGAGACCACUAAUGAAGGAUGAGGAAAUUAGUUUCCCUGUGCCUCAAGACCCUGAGGACACCAGCACUUCUGGGGCCGAAUGAAGAAAUGCCAGAAGACAGGGAGGAGGACACCCCGCAGAAAGUUAGGGUGCUGCACUCAGGAAAGUAGUCAGUGUCCUCAAACGCUGCAAGUAGGUCGUAUGGAGAGGAAUCCAAGGGGCUCUUAGGUUUGACCAGAGGAAGGUCACUGAUGGGCUAAGCAGGAACCACUUCGGCAGCAAGGGCAGUCAGACCGCAGCCAAGAGAAUUUCAUGAGAAAUCAAGGGCAAAUGAGUAUGUGGUAAUGGUAAGAGGAAAAGCCACCCAUCCAGAAAAAAGGAUGAUACAGAAAACCCAACACACCAUGUAAGUUAGUGUUUACACACUCAUUCCCAAUCAGUAAAACACCAAAAGUUACCAACACCUGACUAGUAUAACAGAUAAAGAAAUUAUGACAUAUUUCUAUGAUGGAACAUUAAACAUCAAUUAAAAAGAACACACAGCUGCUACAUGCAACAUAUAGAUGAAUCCCACAGAGAUAAUGCUGAGUGGAAAAAGCCAGGCAUGAAAACCUAGAUAAUUUGGUUAUAUAAAAUUCAAGAUCAGGCAAAACAUUCAGAAGUCAAAAUGAUGGUUGCCUUCAUAGAAAGAGAAUUAACUGGGAAGGAAAAAGGAACUCAGAAAGUGGGAAACAUCAUCUAUCUUGGUCUGGGUGGUGAUUAUAGGCACAUACAUAUGCAAACGUUUCCUAUGCUGGGCUGGGGAUGUAGCAGAGUGGUAGAGCACUUGCAUAGCAUGUGCAAGCCUCUGAGUUCAUUCUCCACAGACUCCCCCAAAAACCUUGUUAAACGUUUGUAUAUACAUGAAAUGUUUGCUAAUUAUACCUCGGACAAAAUAAUGGGAGGACCAGAGAUGUGGCUUGGUGACAGAGCACUUGCCUGUGUGUGAGGCCCUGGACUCCAUCCCCAGCACUCCCAAAACGAAAACAAAAAUGGUGGUGGUCAGAAAGAGUAAACUGAAGAAACAGGAAAUCUUUUAGAAACAGCAGAGUUCCCAACUUCCCACUUUAGGCCACUGUGGACAUUUUUGGCAAAGAAAAAAAAAAUGGGGAUUUAGCUUAAUGGCAUAAGCGCCUGCCUGACAAGGGCAAGGUCAUGAGUUCAAUUCCUGGUACCAAAAAAAAAAAAGAUGGAGAAAGAAAGAAUCUAGAAGCUAGAUGUGGUGGUGCAUGCUUAUAAUCCCAGCACUGUGAGGCUGAGGCAGGAAUAUCCCUGUGAAUUUAAGACCAGCCUGAACUACCUAGCAAGACCCUGUCUCAAACAAAUAGAUGAACAAAAGGCUAGCAUAUAGGAUUGUUGAGACUGUUGAAUGCGGACGCCUUUUGUGCUCUGGGUGAAUGAUUUGGGAAUGGCAGUAUGCAGUGUCUGUACCACUGUUGCCCCACUGAUGUGUUUUGAAAUUUUGUUGUAAUUUUUCUUCUUCCUCUUUUUUCUUUCUUUUAUCUUUGAAUAAAAUGGAUUUUUUAAAAAAGCUAACAAAAUUAUUUAUUAAUUACAAAGGAAAAAUAAUAACUUUAUAGCAGAGAAAAACUAAGUAACCAAAGCUAGCAUCCCCACUCCUGGAACAAACUGACAUUAUGUGCCACGUGGAGACAAUGCACUGAGAAGGACACGGGGAUGGCCUCAGUAGUGUUUCUGCCCAGAAUGUGGAACCUGACCCUGAUCGUGAGGAAAUACCAGACAAGCCCAGGUUAGGCUCACCGUACCACAUAACUGGAUGGGGUUUUCCAGUACUGACAGUUGAACCCAGAGGUGCUCAACUUCUUGAGAUGCAGUACCUCCUCGGGUUCAUCUUUAAAUUUCUUCAGAUUAAACACUGGUUAUGCUGAGCAUGGUGGUGUAUGCCUGUAAUCCCAGCUACUUGGGAGGCUGAGACAAAAGGACGGAAGUUUGGGGCCCACCUGGGCCACUUAGGGAGGCCCCGUCUCCAAAUGAAAAUAAAUGAAAUGUUAGCUCAGUGGGAGAGUGCCGCUGGAUUUAAUCUUUACCACAAAACACAGAAAUGAAAGCAAAAACAAAAUGUCAAGGCAAAAAAUACAACGAAAGACUGAGGAUUAAAGGAAUUUAAAGUGAAAUGAUCAUUUAAAACAGUGUGUAGGACUGCAAGUAUAACUCAGCAGUAGAGAGUUUGCAACCGUAUGCAUUCAAUUCCCAGCACCUCAAAAAACAAAACAAGGGCCAGAGAUUUAGCACAACAGCAUAAGCGCCUGCUGACAAGCAUGAGGUCCUGAGUUUGAUCCCCAGUACCGGAAAAAACAAGAACAAAGAAACACAAAGCAAGGCGGUUUGUAGUCCUGAAAUGGAUGUUGGACCUGGAAAGAUAUCUACAAAGGACAUUAGUGUGACAACAGGAAAGAAUUUUGAAUAUUAACCAUAAAUUAGGUAAUAGUCUAGUGUCAAAUGUAACAUUUCUUGGUUUUGAUAGCUGCUGUGGUUAUAUGGUUGUAUGAUAGUUCUGACAUUGGAGUAUUAGGGAGUGAGGGGGUCUGACAUCAUGAAAGGACUUUUCAGUGGUUUAGAAAAAGUGCAGGAAGAGCAAUUGAGUGAAAGAAAACACAUGGAACCAAAUGUGAACAAUUGAUAACCCUGAGUGAAGAGGCUGUGUCACACUAUUCUUGCAACUUUUCUUUAAGUUUGUGAUUGCAUUAAAACAAAAUAUUAUCAAACACACACACACCAGGACCAAGAAUGCAACUCAGUGCUGGAGCACUUACCUAGCAUGUGCACACACAAAACAAAACAAGUAAAUAAAAAAGACAAAGCAAGGCCAGACGUAGCAGUGCCCUCCUGUAAUCCCAGCACUCAGGAGGCUGAGGCAGGAGGAUCGUUGCAAGUUCAAGACCAGCUUGCGCUACAAAGUGAGCUCAAGGGAAGCCUGAAUUGCAUAGUGAGACUCUGUCUCAAAAAAACCACAAAAAAGACAAAGCAAAUUAUGACAAUUUUUAAAAACAAAACAACAUUCUGAUUACACCUUUUUAAAAAUACUUUAAACAUGGAGAGGCUGAGAUCUCCACCCCCUCUCCUUACACUUCUGCUGCGGAAACCAAAGGCCAAGGCCAGUGCGGGGAGAGAUUGAUGAAGAACAAACAGCUUUCCUUCCAGGUAAUGUGCUUGUCUUGGCUUAGGUCAGGAAAGGAAAGGGGCACCUGGAAUCCAGCACAUCUGCACAGACAGCGAAACACUGCAGAGAGCCGGAGAACAAUCUGCGGAGACUCCUCAUUGACCUCAGUGUACAGAAUUCUCUUCAGUAAUAGUUCAAGCACACAGCACACAUAACCACCAUCUCCCCACCACCACCACCAAAUAAAAAAACUUGCAGCGAAGGAUGAGCUGGAGAUGAAGGUGUUGUCACCUGGAGGUGACAGCAGAGUAUAUGAGAGCAGUUGAGGUCACAAAUCUUGGAGCUACUUCAUUCUGGGUUCUGACUGAUCCUACCACCUAGGAGAUGGGUGGCCUUGGACAAGUCCACUUAAUCUCAGUCCAUUUGUCUUAAAAACCAGCGCUUUCUAUUUUACUUUACAGAGCUAUUGUGAGUAAUCAAUGAGACAAUAAAUGCCAGAUACUCAGCACGGUUCCUGGCACACAGAAAGAGCUCAAUGAAUGGAAACAAAACUGUUAAAAAUAAUAACAGGUAAUCAUAGGAAACUGUGCUUAAAGAGCUGGUUGAGGCUGAGGAGUUUCCUAGGAGUAAUUUACCAUAUUCCCUGAAUUUUUAUCCCAUGCCUAGCACAUAGGAUACUUGAUCUCAUUUAAGUUUCACAACCACCCAUUGAGAUAAGUAUUUCCAUUUCACAGAAAAUAAGACCCAGAGUGGCUCAGCUGUUUGCUGAAAAUCACCCCAAUGAAUGGAAGUUGAGUCUGCUUUAGAAAGUCAAGCAACUGUGUUAGUCACUUCCUUAUCACUGGGACACAAUACCUGAUUCCCACAACUUAAGGGAGAAGUGGAUUUUGGUUCAUGUUUUUAAUUUAUAGUUGGCCACUUCCAAAGCAGGAAGGCAUGGUGGGAAGGUCUUGUAGGAGCAAUGUGGCUCACAUCAUGGCAGAGAGGAAGCAGAGAGAGAAAGGAUGAGCUGGGGAGAGAGAUACACCCCAGGACCCCACCUCUUCUGACCAGGGCCCACCUUCUAAUGUCAUACUUACCUAUGGUGCUCCCAUGAUUCAAUCAUCCUUCAAAAGCCCUCUUAUGAGUGCAUGAGGCUUCGGGGGAAAUCCAGAUAUAAACCAUAGCAGCAACCCAAAUUUGAUUCAAAGACAAGAAGGUAGUUAUGCACAACCAGGUGUCUGCCUCCAACAUGAUCCUUCAGCUGGUUCUUGUAAGGUCCAAAUUCUUUGGCUGAGGAUCCACUGAGUUUCAGAGUCAAGGGAGCCACCAUGACUUUCAAAGGAUCCAAGAAAGCUAUUGUCUAAAAUGGUCCAGCCUGAGUUCUAGAAAGUGAG
Molecule: long non-coding RNA, 5579 nt
Organism: Cavia porcellus (domestic guinea pig)
Lineage: Eukaryota; Metazoa; Chordata; Mammalia; Rodentia; Caviidae
Exons: 4
Source: RefSeq, a predicted model, not a curated record